RNAcentral lists this ribosomal RNA (497 nucleotides) under uncultured bacterium. RNAcentral's name for it is "partial 16S ribosomal RNA". It matches the Rfam family "Bacterial small subunit ribosomal RNA", at positions 28 to 507 of the family's 1533-position model. The record is from RNAcentral.
GAUGAACGCUGGCGGCGUGCCUAAUACAUGCAAGUCGAGCGAACAGACGAGGAGCUUGCUCCUCUGACGUUAGCGGCGGGCGGGUGAGUAACACGUGGAUAACCUACCUAUAAGACUGGGAUAACUUCGGGAAACCGGAGCUAAUACCGGAUAAUAUAUUGAACCGUAUGGUUCAAUAGUGAAAGACGGUUUUGCUGUCACUUAUAGAUGGAUCCGCGCCGCAUUAGCUAGUUGGUAAGGUAACGGCUUACCAAGGCAACGAUGCGUAGCCGACCUGAGAGGGUGAUCGGCCACACUGGAACUGAGACACGGUCCAGACUCCUACGGGAGGCAGCAGUAGGGAAUCUUCCGCAAUGGGCGAAAGCCUGACGGAGCAACGCCGCGUGAGUGAUGAAGGUCUUCGGAUCGUAAAACUCUGUUAUUAGGGAAGAACAAAUGUGUAAGUAACUAUGCACGUCUUGACGGUACCUAAUCAGAAAGCCACGGCUAACUACGUG